Molecule: ribosomal RNA, 415 nt
Filed under: uncultured bacterium
Lineage: Bacteria
Description: bacterial SSU rRNA
Rfam family: Bacterial small subunit ribosomal RNA
Source: RNAcentral
UACGGAAGGCAGCAGUGGGGAAUAUUGCACAAUGGGCGCAAGCCUGAUGCAGCCAUGCCGCGUGUAUGAAAAAGGCCUUCGGGUUGUAAAGUACUUUCAGUCGUGAGGAAGGUGUUAAGGUUAAUAACCUUAGCAAUUGACGUUAGCGACAGAAGAAGCACCGGCUAACUCCGUGCCAGCAGCCGCGGUAAUACGGAGGGUGCGAGCGUUAAUCGGAAUUACUGGGCGUAAAGGGCACGCAGGCGGUUAAUUAAGUUGGAUGUGAAAUCCCCGGGCUUAACCUGGGAAUGGCAUUCAAGACUGGUUAGCUAGAGUCUUGUAGAGGGGGUAGAAUUCCAUGUGUAGCGGUGAAAUGCGUAGAGAUGUGGAGGAAUACCGGUGGCGAAGGCGGCCCCUGGCAAAGCUGACGCUCAUG